This is a long non-coding RNA of Metopolophium dirhodum (rose-grain aphid), 978 nucleotides long. RefSeq lists it as uncharacterized. NCBI's taxonomy places the organism in Eukaryota, Metazoa, Arthropoda, Insecta, Hemiptera, Aphididae. The transcript is spliced from 3 exons. The record is from RefSeq and is a predicted model, not a curated record.
CGGCGGCCCUCGCACACAUCCGCCGCGCCCCUUCCGAAGGGCGCGAACGACGAACGACGGCGACGGCGACCGGGCACGGCAUCUCAUCCGCGGCGAACCAACACACACACGCACACACGCGCACAUGCGCACGCACACACACACUGCAGACACACGCGCGCACGCAAACACAAGUCGGCCCCGCGAGUUUCGUUUUGCAAACGUUUUCAGUGUGACUCGAACGACGGCCGCGGCUGCAGGGACGGCGGGCUGUAGGCGCACAGAUGCGGAACCGACGACCGGAAACCGUCGCGAAUACCCACCCGAGAUCACGAACUUCAAGCGCAUUGGAUAUUUGGAUAUACUGCCGUUUCACAGUCCAAGUACACGACGACGGGGCUCCGACCGAUCAAACAGUGCAAUAGCAGCAUCAGGACACAAUAUAUAGGUACAUCUACUCGUCCGUGAUUUCGCCCGAGGACGAGUACACAUACACUGGGUUUGACGGAUAAAUCUGAGGUUAAAGGUGAAACACGGCCGCCGAUGUCAUAUUGUCCUCCGGACACCGCCGGUCGUUUGUUCCACGCGGAAUAAUAGUAAUAAUAAUAAUACAAAAUAACAACGAUUAGUAAUAUUAUAAAAUAUUACCGAACGUUAUUAUUAUAUUAUUGUUAAUGCUCCAAGUCUCGCGAUAAUACGCGGGCCGUAUACAAUACAAGGCGACGAAACAACAGUACAUUAUUUUCUACGCCACACCACAACCCGUUACCGCAAACUCAACAGUUAUAUAUAUAGUGAGUAAAAACAAAUUUAAAAAAAAAAAAUUCUAAUAUCGUACCAGCCGAAAAAGUACCUACUUAAUAAAAUAUAUUGUAUUAUAUAUUUAUAUAUAAAUAUUUUUUUUUUUUUCGUUCUCGUCGGCUGUAUACCCGAGCGAUACUGUGUCGAAAAUAGGCGGAGGUAUACAAAUGUGUAUAAAUUAUUAAAUAAUUAUUAUUA